This 141-nucleotide ribosomal RNA is filed under the name uncultured Enterobacter sp. RNAcentral describes it as "partial 16S ribosomal RNA". It matches the Rfam family "Bacterial small subunit ribosomal RNA", at positions 374 to 507 of the family's 1533-position model. Lineage: Bacteria; Pseudomonadati; Pseudomonadota; Gammaproteobacteria; Enterobacterales; Enterobacteriaceae. The record is from RNAcentral.
GGCGCAAGCCUGAUGCAGCCAUGCCGCGUGUAUGAAGAAGGCCUUCGGGUUGUAAAGUACUUUCAGCGGGGAGGAAGGGAGUGUGGUUAAUAACCUCGCUCAUUGACGUUACCCGCAGAAGAAGCACCGGCUAACUCCGUG